CCUACGGGAGGCAGCAGUGAGGAAUAUUGGUCAAUGGGCGAGAGCCUGAACCAGCCAAGUCGCGUGAGGGAGUACUGCCCUAUGGGUUGUAAACCUCUUUUGUCGGGGAGCAAAAGCCGGACGUGUCCGGCUGUGAGAGUACCCGAAGAAAAAGCAUCGGCUAACUCCGUGCCAGCAGCCGCGGUAAUACGGAGGAUGCGAGCGUUAUCCGGAUUUAUUGGGGUUAAAGGGUGCGCAGGCGGAUUUUUAAGUCAGCGGUCAAAUCGUGGGGCUCAACCCCAUCCAGCCGUUGACACUGGGGAUCUAGAGUGUGCGAGAGGUAUGCGGAAUGCGUGGUGUAGCGGUGAAAUGCAUAGAUAUCACGCAGAACCCCGAUUGCGAAGGCAGCAUACCGGUGCACAACUGACGCUCAGGCACGAAAGCGUGGGUAUCGAACAGGAUUAGAUACCCCAGUAGUC
Molecule: ribosomal RNA, 458 nt
Filed under: uncultured bacterium
Lineage: Bacteria
Description: partial 16S ribosomal RNA
Rfam family: Bacterial small subunit ribosomal RNA
Source: RNAcentral